This 483-nucleotide ribosomal RNA is filed under the name uncultured bacterium. RNAcentral describes it as "partial 16S ribosomal RNA". It matches the Rfam family "Bacterial small subunit ribosomal RNA", at positions 30 to 506 of the family's 1533-position model. The record is from RNAcentral.
AUUGAACGCUGGCGGCAGGCCUAACACAUGCAAGUCGAGCGGAUGAAGGGAGCUUGCUCCUGGAUUCAGCGGCGGACGGGUGAGUAAUGCCUAGGAAUCUGCCUGGUAGUGGGGGAUAACGUCCGGAAACGGGCGCUAAUACCGCAUACGUCCUGAGGGAGAAAGUGGGGGAUCUUCGGACCUCACGCUAUCAGAUGAGCCUAGGUCGGAUUAGCUAGUUGGUGGGGUAAAGGCCUACCAAGGCGACGAUCCGUAACUGGUCUGAGGGGAUGAUCAGUCACACUGGAACUGAGACACGGUCCAGACUCCUACGGGAGGCAGCAGUGGGGAAUAUUGGACAAUGGGCGAAAGCCUGAUCCAGCCAUGCCGCGUGUGUGAAGAAGGUCUUCGGAUUGUAAAGCACUUUAAGUUGGGAGGAAGGGCAGUAAGUUAAUACCUUGCUGUUUUGACGUUACCAACAGAAUAAGCACCGGCUAACUUCGU